This 248-nucleotide long non-coding RNA is filed under the name Olea europaea (common olive). RNAcentral's name for it is "long non-coding RNA (OEUR_LNC013975)". The record is from RNAcentral. Lineage: Eukaryota; Viridiplantae; Streptophyta; Magnoliopsida; Lamiales; Oleaceae.
GUAUGCCUUCGUUGAUCUGUUCUGACAAUACAGAUGAAUGUCUCUUUCUCCCCCGUCAGUCGAACCACUUUACGGUUCAAUGCUUGUCUGUAUUCCUUUCAGCAGGUAGCUAUUCAGAUAAGUUUCUUUCUGACGUGCUGCUAGCUUCCUUUAUUUAUAUCCAUACCACGUUUGGGUCGGUACUUUGGUCUGGACAUCCCCCACAUGAUUGGAGAUGGAAGGAUUGCCUCUCCCUUCUAGGGAGGCUU